GGAAAGGACAAAUGGUUUGCCUCUGUCUGAAAAACAAGGGGUCGGCAGUUCGAUUCUGCCUCUGGCCA
This 68-nucleotide transfer RNA is filed under the name Candidatus Actinomarina sp. RNAcentral describes it as "tRNA-Phe". The record is from RNAcentral. Lineage: Bacteria; Bacillati; Actinomycetota; Actinomycetes; Candidatus Actinomarinales; Candidatus Actinomarinaceae.